Molecule: long non-coding RNA, 179 nt
Organism: Phyllostomus discolor (pale spear-nosed bat)
Lineage: Eukaryota; Metazoa; Chordata; Mammalia; Chiroptera; Phyllostomidae
Exons: 4
Source: RefSeq, a predicted model, not a curated record
ACCCAAUAAAAGCCCAUUGAGGAAAAGGCUCUUGGCCCUUCUCCUUUGAGAGAUUGGCCACCUUUCCUUCCCAAGCAGAUCAUGUCUUGGUAGACUUAUUCUCAUCUGUGGUGGUGGUGGGGGGGCCUGCGGGCAGAGCUCCCCCACAAGACUUUCCAUUACAGAAUAGGUAAGUAAGC